RNAcentral lists this ribosomal RNA (442 nucleotides) under uncultured bacterium. RNAcentral's name for it is "partial 16S ribosomal RNA". It matches the Rfam family "Bacterial small subunit ribosomal RNA", at positions 338 to 795 of the family's 1533-position model. The record is from RNAcentral.
CCUACGGGAGGCAGCAGUAGGGAAUUUUGCGCAAUGGGGGAAACCCUGACGCAGCAACGCCGCGUGAUCGAUGAAGCCCUUCGGGGUGUAAAGAUCUGUCAGUGGGGACGAAACCUGACGGUACCCACACGAGGAAGAGACGGCUAACUCUGUGCCAGCAGCCGAGGUAAUACAGAGGUCUCAGGCGUUGUUCGGAAUCACUGGGCGUAAAGCGUGCGUAGGCUGUUUCGUAAGUCGUGUGUGCAAGGGGCGGGCUCAACCCGCGGACGGCACAUGAUACUGCGAGACUAGAGUAAUGGAGGGGGAACCGGAAUUCGCGGUGUAGCAGUGAAAUGCGGAGAUAUCGAGAGGAACACUCGUGGCGAAGGCGGGUUCCUGGACAGUAACUGACGCUGAGGCACGAAGGCCAGGGGAGCGAAAGGGAUUAGAUACCCGUGUAGUC